UGCAGUCGAGCGGACAGAUGGGAGCUUGCUCCCUGAUGUUAGCGGCGGACGGGUGAGUAACACGUGGGUAACCUGCCUGUAAGACUGGGAUAACUCCGGGAAACCGGGGCUAAUACCGGAUGCUUGAUUGAACCGCAUGGUUCAAUUAUAAAAGGUGGCUUUUAGCUACCACUUACAGAUGGACCCGCGGCGCAUUAGCUAGUUGGUGAGGUAACGGCUCACCAAGGCGACGAUGCGAAGCCGACCUGAGAGGGUGAUCGGCCACACUGGGACUGAGACACGGCCCAGACUCCUACGGGAGGCAGCGGAAGGGAAUCUUCCGCAAUGGACGAAAGUCUGACGGAGCAACGCCGCGUGAGUGAUGAAGGUUUUCGGAUCGUAAAACUCUGUUGUUAGGGAAGAACAAGUACCGUUCGAAUAGGGCGGUACCUUGACGGUACCUAACCAAAAAGCCACGGCUAACUACGUGCCAGCAGCCGCGGUAAUACGUAGGUGGCAAGCGUUGUCCGGAAUUAUUGGGCGUAGAGCGCGCGCAGGCGGUUUCUUAAGUCUGAUGUGAAAGCCCCCGGUUCAUCCGGGGAGGGUCAUUGAAAACUGGGGAACUUGAGUGCAGAAGAGGAGAGUGGAAUUCCACGUGUAGCGUAGAAAUGCGUACAGAUGUGGAGGAACACCAGUGCCGAAGGCGACUCUCUGCUCUGUAGCUGACGCUGA
This 711-nucleotide ribosomal RNA is filed under the name Bacillus licheniformis. RNAcentral describes it as "bacterial SSU rRNA". It matches the Rfam family "Bacterial small subunit ribosomal RNA", at positions 56 to 749 of the family's 1533-position model. The record is from RNAcentral. Lineage: Bacteria; Bacillati; Bacillota; Bacilli; Caryophanales; Bacillaceae.